GCGUCGGUGGUCUAAUGGUUAUGACUGCGGCCUUCCAAGCCGCGUAUCUGGGUUCGAAUCCCAGCCGACGCA
Molecule: transfer RNA, 72 nt
Filed under: Nanobdellota archaeon
Lineage: Archaea; Nanobdellati; Nanobdellota
Description: tRNA-Gly
Rfam family: tRNA
About the family: Transfer RNA (tRNA) molecules are approximately 80 nucleotides in length.
Source: RNAcentral